Molecule: ribosomal RNA, 443 nt
Filed under: uncultured bacterium
Lineage: Bacteria
Description: partial 16S ribosomal RNA
Rfam family: Bacterial small subunit ribosomal RNA
Source: RNAcentral
CCUACGGGAGGCAGCAGUGGGGAAUAUUGGACAAUGGGCGCAAGCCUGACCCAGCAACGCCGCGUGAAGGAAGAAGGCUUUCGGGUUGUAAACCUCUUUUCUCAGGGACGAAGCAAGUGACGGUACCUGAGGAAUAAGCCACGGCUAACUACGGGCCAGCCGCCGCGGUAAUACGUAGGUGGCAAGCGUUAUCCGGAUUUACUGGGUGUAAAGGGCGUGUUGGCGGGGAAGCAAGUCAGAUGUGAAAACCAUGGGCUCAACCUGUGGACUGCAUUUGAAACUGUUUGUCUUGAGUACUGGAGAGGCAGACGGAAUUCCGAGUGUAGCGGUGAAAUGCGUAGAGAUUAGGAGGAACACCAGUGGCGAAGGCGGUCUGCUGGACAGCAACUGACGCUGAGGCGCGAAAGCGUGGGGAGCAAACAGGAUUAGAUACCCGAGUAGUC